AUUUGAUUUGAGUGACUGGGUGAUUUGUCUAAGUGAAAAGGGAAGUUUGAAAAAGAGAAAGGCAGUGCGUGUGAGACGAUUUAUGGCGUCUGAAAGAGGUUAGAGCAUUUAAAAGGUGUGUAUGGAAUAAAGGAGUGUGAAAUAUAUUUCUUGUGUGAUGAAAAGUAGGAUGUGCUAAAGUUUGAAAGUGCUUUUAAUUCAAGAAAUGCAUGAGUGAUGGUAUGAGAGGUUGAGUGUCUUUUUCUCUCAGUUCAAAAACACAUAAGCAUAUACACUUGGCUAAUUGUUUGGAUGUGUGAAAGAGCUCUAUUUAAAAGUGUGCAUGAAAUGAAUGUGCUCUGUUUUAGAUCAAGAUUUAGUAGAACUACUGAUCGUUUGUAGACUGUGAAAAUUCAAAGGGAGACAGAGUCUGACUGUUGCCUGCAGGAAGUCUCGGCGGAGGCUGCUGCAACAGGAAGUAUGUGUGUGUGGGACAGGAAAUGCAUGCCCAUAAAAGGAACUGAGUGUGUACAGAAAGAACACAGAGAGAUAGAUGAGUUAACUCUAGGCACAUGAAGCAAAUGAAGCCUUUAAGAAAAAUGGAUAUAUUACUAAUUAUAUGGUUUAGUGUGUCAAUACAGGUGGGCGUCUUUCAACUUUGCAACCUUGAGUUCAGCAGCAGAAAAGUAGAUUAAAAGAAUUGGGAGAAAAUAAGCCAGUCUUUGGCUCGAAAUUGUGCAGCUUGAGCUCUUACUUUGUCCUUCACCCCGAGAAGACACGCAAAGGACAGUCAAUCGCCUGAUGAAGACCGAUAGAACAUCGUGGACUUGAAUACAGCAGGCAAACGACAGUGCCACUGAUCCAUUAACACUGAUGACGACUGACGACCAGCAGCAGCAUGUAAGACUAAUGCAACAUGUACUGUGAAAAUACAGGCUGGGCAGUUGAACAGUGGGAUAAAGAAUUGUGGAAGAGCACUGGACAUUGAGUGAUAUUUUGCCAUGCUGGGACUUAAUCUGAAAGAAAGACUGUAAAGGAACAGAGAAGAAGACAGCAGCUGAGUUGAGACUGUGUUUGCUGGAGCUUUGAAGCCCGAACAGGACAUUGUGCAGAGAGGACCAGUGAGAGAUGAAGCUGGACGAGUUUGACUGCGAGAAUAUAGGAUAUAAUUGAAUUGAAAAUUGAAACCUGAACUCAUGAAUUGUUUAGGGAUGUCCACUACAGCAUAACAAAGAGGAGUAAAGCAGACUUGGACCGGCUCUCCACAGCAGCAGUCGGAAGAAAGUUAGAGGUUAACAUCUAUGGAUAAGUUAAGGCAAGUUUCUGGUUGAAUUGUU
Molecule: long non-coding RNA, 1316 nt
Organism: Oreochromis aureus
Lineage: Eukaryota; Metazoa; Chordata; Actinopteri; Cichliformes; Cichlidae
Source: Ensembl